Non-coding RNA from Oryzias latipes (Japanese medaka), 1504 nucleotides. The record is from RefSeq and is a predicted model, not a curated record. Lineage: Eukaryota; Metazoa; Chordata; Actinopteri; Beloniformes; Adrianichthyidae.
UUUUUUUUUUUUUGUGUGGCCACUGAGGGGAUUGGCGCUGGCUCAUGGGGUGCGAUUGACCCCAAGUUUUUUUUUUUUUUUUUCUUUAGCAUUCACUCUUCUCUCAUGGCCCACCACCUGGGGUCUCGCUUUACCGGUUCCCUUUCACCCGCUGGCUCAUGGGGUGCGAUUGACCCCAAGUAUUUUUUUUUUUUCUGUAGCAUUCACUCUUCUCUCAUGGCCCACCACCGGGGGUCUCGUUUUUCCGGUUCCCUUCCACCCGCUGGCUCAUGGGGUGCGAUUGACCCCAAGUAUUUUUUUUUUCUUUAGCAUUCACUCUUCUCUCAUGGCCCACCACCGGGGGUCUCGUUUUUCCGGUUCCCUUUCACCCGCUGGCUCAUGGGGUGCGAUUGACCCCAAGUAUUUUUUUUUUUCUUUAGCAUUCACUCUUCUCUCAUGGCCCACCACCGGGGCUCUCGCUUUUCCGGUUCCCUUCCACCCGCUGGCUCAUGGGGUGCGAUUGACCCCAAGUAUUUUUUUUUUCUUUAGCAUUCACUUUUCUACAUCACCCUUGAGGCUUUUCGAAGUGUACUGUUUGUGUUUACGUUUCUUUUUUUUUUAUGUGAUCAAGAAAGGUCAAGAGAAACAAAUGAACAAACCUAAAUGGUUUUCUGCUGCUUUUUUUUUAAAAAAAAUAACCGGAAGCAAUUUCGGCUUCCAUAGUUUUCUUCUUCCGUUACUAGCUAGUUAGUUCAAACCAAUUUGGUCUCCAGAGAAGAUGCUCUGGUUGUUUUUGCUGUCCUGCAGUCUGGUUCUGUCCAAUUCCGGACAGACAGUCAACGGUGAGUGGCUCGACCCGUUUGACAUGCUAAACUACGAGGCGAGGACCAAAACAAUGAAGAACUCUGAGGUUGGUCAACGUGGGAUGUUCGUCAAAUCCAACUUCUUUGAAACAACUUAUUUUUUUUGAUAUUCAGUUAAUCUUACUUGCCCCACAGUCACAAGCCAGCAACACUGGUGCUGCUGAUCCGCAGCAAAGGGAGAAGGUAAACCAGCCUGUGGCCCACUGUAACCCACAUGUCAUGGAUCUACAGAAACAGAGCUGCAUGAAGGUUCUUUGGACCGUUUCAUUUCCACCCCACUCUGUUGGUGCUACGGCGAGCGGGAGGUCUGGGUCAUCAAAGUAACGUCACAGCAGACAGCUCUGGCUGCCAUUCCUUGUAUAUGGUAUUCACUUCAUUUAACCUGUGUAUAUGCUGACCAAAAUCAUGUAACCUUUGUGUGUGGUAAUCACUUUAUCUAACGUGUAUAUACUGACCAUUAUACGAUUAAAAAUGUACACACCAAUGUAUUUUUUUUUUAAUUUUUCAAUCUUUAAAAACCGAGAUUGUGUGAUGUAUCCAAUAAUUAGAAAAAUAUCUCUUCAAAUAGUCAUGUUGGGACAAAACCCAUGAGCAAAAAAGAAAGCGAAUAUGCAACGUUGAGGUUCCAGUUUGACUUUUAUUCGAACAAGGCAAAAAAAAAA